AUGUUAGACACAUCGGGUCUCUCCAAGGCAUGGUGGGGGGAGGCGAUAUUGACAUCGUGUCAUGUCCUAAACCGAGUUCCCACAAAGAACAAAGAGAUAACUCCAUUCGAGGAAUGGGAGAAGAAAAGGUUAAAGCUCUCUUAUCUGCGAACCUGGGGUUGUUUGGCGAAAGUCAAUGUGCCAAUCCCAAAGAAGCGGAAGCUGGGACCAAAAACUGUGGAUUGUGUUUUCCUGGGAUAUGCUUUUCAUAGCAUAGGCUAUAGAUUCUUGGUUGUAAAAUCUGAGGUAUCUGACAUGCAUGUCGGUAUGAUCAUGGAGUCGAAUGAUGCGACUUUCUUUGAAGAUAUCUUUCCCAUGAAGGAUAUGGCUACCUCAUCUAAUCAGGAGAUGCCUAGUUCAUCGAAUCAGGAACCGGUUACAAUUACUGAACCUGCCAUUUCGAUGGAACACUUUGAAAGUCCUGUGGAGGAGAACAAUGAAGUUCCUACUAUGAGCAAGAGACAGAGGACUGCAAACGAGAUGGAUUCUAUCUUGGCGAAUGAAACCUGGGAGAUAACUGAUCGUCCUUAUGGGUGCAAACCUAUAGGAUGCAAAUGGGUAUUCAAGAAGAAGCUUAGGCCUGAUGGUACUAUAGAAAAGUACAAGGCUCGGCUCGUUGCUAAGGGUUAUACCCAAAAGGAAGGUGAAGACUUCUUUGAUACUUACUCACCUGUGGCUCGACUGACUACUAUUCGAGUUCUACUUUCACUGGCUGCCUCACAUGGUCUUCUCGUUCAUCAAAUGGAUGUUAAGACUGCUUUCCUAAAUGGAGAGUUGGAUGAGGAAAUUUAUAUGGAACAACCAGAUGGGUUUGUAAUAGAUGGUCAGGAAGGGAAAGUGUGCAAGUUGCUGAAGUCUUUGUAUGGACUCAAGCAAGCACCCAAACAGUGGCAUGAGAAGUUCGAAAGAACUCUAACAGCUGCAGGCUUUGUUGUGAACGAAGCUGACAAAUGUGUGUACUAUCGCCAUGGUGGGGGCGAGGGAGUUAUGCUUUGCUUGUAUGUUGAUGACAUACUGAUUUUCGGAACAAAUCUGAAAGUCAUUAAGGAGGUCAAGGAUUUCCUAUCUUGCUGUUUUGAGAUGAAGGAUUUAGGAGUGGCUGAUGUCAUUCUGAAUAUCAAGUUGUUGAGAGAUGAUGAUGGUGGGAUUACGUUGCUUCAAUCUCACUAUGUGGAAAAGAUCUUGAGUCGCUUUGGCUAUAGUGACUGCAAGCCCUCUCCAACACCAUAUGAUGCUACCAGUGCUACAAGACCUGACAUCUCUUUUGCUGUUAGCAAACUGAGUCGGUUUGUUUCAAAACCAGGAGAUGUGCAUUGGAAAGCUCUAGAGAGAGUUUUGCGUUAUUUGAAAGGCACUGCGAAUUAUGGAAUUCACUACACUGGGCACCCAAAGGUGCUUGAAGGGUAUAGUGACUCAAACUGGAUCUCAGAUGCUGAUGAGAUAAAGGUCACGAGCGGUUAUGUAUUCACUCAUGGAGGUGGUGUUGUUUCUUGGAAGUCUUGCAAGCAGACCAUCUUAACGAGGUCAACAAUGGAAGCAGAACUCACAGCACUAGAUACAGCUACGGUCGAAGCAGAUUGGCUUCGCCGGCUCUUGAAUGACUUGCCGGUAGUUGAGAAACCUGUACCGGGUAUCCUUAUGAACUGUGACAAUCAAACUGUGAUCACGAAAGUGAACAGCUCUAAGGAUAACAUGAAGUCAUCAAGACACAUUCAAAGAAGGUUAAAGUCUGUCAGAAAAAUGAGAAACUCCGGAGUUAUUGCAUUGGAUUAUAUCCAAACGUCUAAAAAUCUGGCAGAUCCUUUUACUAAGGGUCUAUCACGUAAUGUGAUAGAUAAUGCAUCGAGGGAGAUGGGAAUGAGACCCACAAUAUGA
RNAcentral lists this ribosomal RNA (1914 nucleotides) under Triticum aestivum (bread wheat). RNAcentral describes it as "partial small subunit ribosomal RNA". Lineage: Eukaryota; Viridiplantae; Streptophyta; Magnoliopsida; Poales; Poaceae. The record is from RNAcentral.